UGGGGAAUACUGCACAAUGGGCGGAAGCCUGAUGCAGCGACGCCGCGUGGGGGAUGACGGCCUUCGGGUUGUAAACUCCUUUCGACAGGGACGAAGCUUUUUGUGACGGUACCUGUAUAAGAAGCACCGGCUAACUACGUGCCAGCAGCCGCGGUAAUACGUAGGGUGCGAGCGUUGUCCGGAAUUACUGGGCGUAAAGAGCUCGUAGGUGGUUUGUCGCGUCGUCUGUGAAAUUCCGGGGCUUAACUUCGGGCGUGCAGGCGAUACGGGCAUAACUUGAGUGCUGUAGGGGAGACUGGAAUUCCUGGUGUAGCGGUGAAAUGCGGCAAGAUAUCAGGAGGAACACCGAUGGCGAAGGCAGGUCUCUGGGCAGUUACGUGACGCUGAGGAGCGAAAGCAUGGGUAGCAAACAGGAUUAGAUACCCUGGUAGUCCAUGCCGUAAACGGUGGGCGCUAGGUGUAGGGGGCUUCCACGUCUUCUGUGCCGUAGCUAACGCAUUAAGCGCCCCGCCUGGGGAGUACGGCCGCAAGGCGUAAAACUCAAAUGAAAUUGACGAGGUCAUAGCUGUUUCCU
RNAcentral lists this ribosomal RNA (574 nucleotides) under uncultured bacterium. RNAcentral describes it as "partial 16S ribosomal RNA". It matches the Rfam family "Bacterial small subunit ribosomal RNA", at positions 355 to 1375 of the family's 1533-position model. The record is from RNAcentral.